GCCGGGAUGGUGGAAUGGUAUACACGCGACACUUAAAAUGUCGUGCGCUAUGCGCAUGUGGGUUCGAGUCCCGCUCCCGGCACCA
RNAcentral lists this transfer RNA (85 nucleotides) under Parcubacteria group bacterium. Its description in RNAcentral is "tRNA-Leu". It matches the Rfam family "tRNA". Rfam says of the family: Transfer RNA (tRNA) molecules are approximately 80 nucleotides in length. Their secondary structure includes four short double-helical elements and three loops (D, anti-codon, and T loops). The record is from RNAcentral.